RNAcentral lists this ribosomal RNA (630 nucleotides) under Alternaria tenuissima. RNAcentral describes it as "eukaryotic LSU rRNA". It matches the Rfam family "Eukaryotic large subunit ribosomal RNA", at positions 1 to 643 of the family's 3401-position model. Lineage: Eukaryota; Fungi; Ascomycota; Dothideomycetes; Pleosporales; Pleosporaceae. The record is from RNAcentral. RNAcentral also lists the same sequence under 5 other names.
UUUUGACCUCGGAUCAGGUAGGGAUACCCGCUGAACUUAAGCAUAUCAAUAAGCGGAGGAAAAGAAACCAACAGGGAUUGCCCUAGUAACGGCGAGUGAAGCGGCAACAGCUCAAAUUUGAAAUCUGGCUCUUUUAGAGUCCGAGUUGUAAUUUGCAGAGGGCGCUUUGGCUUUGGCAGCGGUCCAAGUUCCUUGGAACAGGACGUCACAGAGGGUGAGAAUCCCGUACGUGGUCGCUGGCUAUUGCCGUGUAAAGCCCCUUCGACGAGUCGAGUUGUUUGGGAAUGCAGCUCUAAAUGGGAGGUACAUUUCUUCUAAAGCUAAAUAUUGGCCAGAGACCGAUAGCGCACAAGUAGAGUGAUCGAAAGAUGAAAAGCACUUUGGAAAGAGAGUCAAACAGCACGUGAAAUUGUUGAAAGGGAAGCGCUUGCAGCCAGACUUGCUUACAGUUGCUCAUCCGGGUUUCUACCCGGUGCACUCUUCUGUAGGCAGGCCAGCAUCAGUUUGGGCGGUAGGAUAAAGGUCUCUGUCACGUACCUCCUUUCGGGGAGGCCUUAUAGGGGAGACGACAUACUACCAGCCUGGACUGAGGUCCGCGCAUCUGCUAGGAUGCUGGCGUAAUGGCUGUAA